This 947-nucleotide ribosomal RNA is filed under the name uncultured bacterium. RNAcentral describes it as "bacterial SSU rRNA". It matches the Rfam family "Bacterial small subunit ribosomal RNA", at positions 540 to 1484 of the family's 1533-position model. The record is from RNAcentral.
GUUGUCCGGAUUUAUUGGGCGUAAAGCGAGCGCAGGCGGUGAUUUAAGUCUGAUGUGAAAGCCCCCAGCUCAACUGGGGAGGGUCAUUGGAAACUGGAUCACUUGAGUGCAGAAGAGGAGAGUGGAAUUCCAUGUGUAGCGGUGAAAUGCGUAGAUAUAUGGAGGAACACCAGUGGCGAAGGCGGCUCUCUGGUCUGUAACUGACGCUGAGGCUCGAAAGCGUGGGUAGCAAACAGGAUUAGAUACCCUGGUAGUCCACGCCGUAAACGAUGAGUGCUAAGUGUUGGAGGGUUUCCGCCCUCCAGUGCUGCAGUUAACGCAUUAAGCACUCCGCCUGGGGAGUACGACCGCAAGGUUGAAACUCAAAGGAAUUGACGGGGGCCCGCACAAGCGGUGGAGCAUGUGGUUUAAUUCGAAGCAACGCAAAGAACCUUACCAGGUCUUGACAUCCUUUGACCGCCCUAGAGAUAGGGUUUCCCCUUCGGGGGCAAAGUGACAGGUGGUGCAUGGUUGUCGUCAGCUCGUGUCGUGAGAUGUUGGGUUAAGUCCCGUAACGAGCGCAACCCUUAUUGUUAGUUGCCAGCAUUGAGUUGGGCACUCUAGCAAGACUGCCGGUGACAAACCGGAGGAAGGCGGGGAUGACGUCAAAUCAUCAUGCCCCUUAUGACCUGGGCUACACACGUGCUACAAUGGGAAGUACAACGAGCAAGCCAAGCCGCAAGGCCUAGCGAAUCUCUGAAAGCUUCUCUCAGUUCGGAUUGCAGGCUGCAACUCGCCUGCAUGAAGCCGGAAUCGCUAGUAAUCGCGGAUCAGCAUGCCGCGGUGAAUCCGUUCCCGGGCCUUGUACACACCGCCCGUCACACCACGAGAGUUUGUAACACCCAAAGUCGGUGCGGCAACCCUUCGGGGAGCCAGCCGCCUAAGGUGGGACGAAUGAUUGGGGUGAA